This 254-nucleotide ribosomal RNA is filed under the name uncultured bacterium. Its description in RNAcentral is "partial 16S ribosomal RNA". It matches the Rfam family "Bacterial small subunit ribosomal RNA", at positions 524 to 776 of the family's 1533-position model. The record is from RNAcentral.
GACAGAGGGUGCAAACGUUGCUCGGAAUCACUGGGCGUAAAGGGUGCGUAGGCGGGUCUUUAAGUCAGGGGUGAAAUCCUGGAGCUCAACUCCAGAACUGCCUUUGAUACUGAGGAUCUUGAGUUCGGGAGAGGUGAGUGGAACUGCGAGUGUAGAGGUGAAAUUCGUAGAUAUUCGCAAGAACACCAGUGGCGAAGGCGGCUCACUGGCCCGAUACUGACGCUGAGGCACGGAAAGCGUGGGGAGCAAACAGG